RNAcentral lists this ribosomal RNA (253 nucleotides) under uncultured bacterium. RNAcentral's name for it is "partial 16S ribosomal RNA". It matches the Rfam family "Bacterial small subunit ribosomal RNA", at positions 524 to 776 of the family's 1533-position model. The record is from RNAcentral.
UACGGAGGGUGCAAGCGUUAAUCGGAGUUACUGGGCGUAAAGCGCGCGCAGGCGGUCAGUUAAGCCAGAUGUGAAAGCCCCGGGCUUAACUUGGGAAUUGCAUCUUGAACUGGCUGGCUAGAGUGUGGUAGAGGGGGGUAGAAUUCCAUGUGUAGCGGUGAAAUGCGUAGAGAUGUGGAGGAAUACCGGUGGCGAAGGCGGCCCCCUGGGCUAAGACUGACGCUCAGGUGCGAAAGCGUGGGGAGCAAACAGG